CCUACGGGGGGCUGCAGUGGGGAAUAUUGGGCAAUGGAGGAAACUCUGACCCAGCAACGCCGCGUGAAUGAUGAAGGUCUUCGGAUUGUAAAGUUCUUUUCUAAGGGAAGAAGAAAGUGACGGUACCUUAGUAAUAAGCCUCGGCUAACUACGUGCCAGCAGCCGCGGUAAUACGUAGGAGGCGAGCGUUAUCCGGAAUGACUGGGCGUAAAGGGUGCGUAGGUGGUUUGGCAAGUUAGUCGCGUAACUCCACGGCUCAACCUUGGAACUACUACUAAAACUGUUGGACUUGAGUGCAGGGGGGGCAAGCGGAAUUCCUAGUGUAGCGGUGGAAUGCGUAGAUAUUAGGAGGAACACCAGUGGCGAAGGCGGGUUGCUAGACUGUAACUGACACUGAGGCACGAAAGCGUGGGGAGCAAACAGGAUUAGAUACCCCAGUAGUC
Molecule: ribosomal RNA, 443 nt
Filed under: uncultured bacterium
Lineage: Bacteria
Description: partial 16S ribosomal RNA
Rfam family: Bacterial small subunit ribosomal RNA
Source: RNAcentral